UUAAUCCAUUUGCUGAAUUUCCAAAAGGAAAACGGGGGAACCAAUUCUUGGGGUGAAUCGCCUAAUGGCGUAGAGCAGUUUUUCAGCUCGAACCCGACAGCUAACCUCGUAAGCGUUGAAAGACACGAUAU
This 131-nucleotide small RNA is filed under the name Desulfosporosinus meridiei. RNAcentral describes it as "c-di-AMP sequence". It matches the Rfam family "c-di-AMP riboswitch aptamer (ydaO/yuaA leader)". From Rfam's summary of the family: This family represents a conserved RNA structure found upstream of the ydaO and yuaA genes in Bacillus subtilis and related genes in other bacteria. The ydaO/yuaA element is thought to act as a genetic "off" switch for the ydaO and yuaA genes in its native state. RNAcentral also lists the same sequence under 1 other name. Lineage: Bacteria; Bacillati; Bacillota; Clostridia; Eubacteriales; Desulfitobacteriaceae. The record is from RNAcentral.